GUUCGUGCUCGGCGCCGAGCUCGGCAUGCUCCUCGCCGCCACAACUCCCUCGCUAGCACAAGUUCGUGACCCGCUCAUCAACGGCCUCCGCCCCAUCUCGCUGGUGCGCGGUGCGGGGACUGGCCAACAUCUACUCAUCGACGACCUCGUAACCUCCCUCAUCAUCAUGCUCAAAUCCACCAGGACCAGGCCCUACUCCACCUGCAGCGACCUCGUCGUGUGCAAUACCAGAUUUAGAAGCUCGUUCCCUCGUCUACUUCCCUGGAGCAUCAACCGGCUGCUGGAGUACGUAAUGUCGGCCAGAUAACCAGGAGUGGUUUCGAGUCCUUUUCACAUCUUGAACAUCCCUUCUCGGAAUCGAAGCUUUUUUUGUACCCGACUUGAGCCAUGCUUCUUAUUUCGACGCAAUCCCAAGUGAUGCUAUUGAUGUUGAGUGUGAUGCCAUCAUGACCAGGCACCGUUAUUCGCCACCGACUGUUAUGUUGGUGAUUAAGAGCUUAUCCAUGAUCAUUUGUAGCAUGUGUUGAGACUUCGGCAAGAUGGAAGUGAAAAUAGUGUUGCGUAAUUGAUGCUUUGAACUAUUUAUGCUUCCUCAGAAUUAUGUUUGUUCAGUUCAGAUA
Molecule: long non-coding RNA, 620 nt
Organism: Hordeum vulgare subsp. vulgare (domesticated barley)
Lineage: Eukaryota; Viridiplantae; Streptophyta; Magnoliopsida; Poales; Poaceae
Exons: 3
Source: RefSeq, a predicted model, not a curated record